This 254-nucleotide ribosomal RNA is filed under the name uncultured bacterium. RNAcentral's name for it is "partial 16S ribosomal RNA". It matches the Rfam family "Bacterial small subunit ribosomal RNA", at positions 524 to 776 of the family's 1533-position model. The record is from RNAcentral.
UACGAAGGGGGGCUAGCGUUGCUCGGAAUCACUGGGCGUAAAGGGCGCGUAGGCGGCGUGACAAGUCACUUGUGAAAUCUCCGGGCUUAACUCGGAACGGUCAAGUGAUACUGUCGUGCUAGAGUACAGAAGGGGCAACUGGAAUUCUCGGUGUAGCGGUGAAAUGCGUAGAUAUCGAGAGGAACACCUGCGGCGAAGGCGGGUUGCUGGGCUGAUACUGACGCUGAGGCGCGAAAGCUAGGGGAGCGAACGGG